This 492-nucleotide ribosomal RNA is filed under the name uncultured bacterium. RNAcentral's name for it is "partial 16S ribosomal RNA". It matches the Rfam family "Bacterial small subunit ribosomal RNA", at positions 29 to 507 of the family's 1533-position model. The record is from RNAcentral.
AGUGAACGCUGGCGGUAGGCCUAACACAUGCAAGUCGAACGGCAGCACAGUAAGAGCUUGCUCUUACGGGUGGCGAGUGGCGGACGGGUGAGGAAUACAUCGGAAUCUACUUUUUCGUGGGGGAUAACGUAGGGAAACUUACGCUAAUACCGCAUACGACCUACGGGUGAAAGUAGGGGAUCUUCGGACCUUGCGCGAUUGAAUGAGCCGAUGUCGGAUUAGCUAGUUGGCGGGGUAAAGGCCCACCAAGGCGGCGAUCCGUAGCUGGUCUGAGAGGAUGAUCAGCCACACUGGAACUGAGACACGGUCCAGACUCCUACGGGAGGCAGCAGUGGGGAAUAUUGGACAAUGGGCGCAAGCCUGAUCCAGCCAUACCGCGUGGGUGAAGAAGGCCUUCGGGUUGUAAAGCCCUUUUGUUGGGAAAGAAAAGCAGCAGGUUAAUACCCCGCUGUUCUGACGGUACCCAAAGAAUAAGCACCGGCUAACUUCGUG